Long non-coding RNA from Neofelis nebulosa (Clouded leopard), 557 nucleotides. RefSeq lists it as uncharacterized. Lineage: Eukaryota; Metazoa; Chordata; Mammalia; Carnivora; Felidae. The record is from RefSeq and is a predicted model, not a curated record. The transcript is spliced from 2 exons.
CAGGACAGUCCGUGAAAGAGUGAAAGAAUGAAAGAGAGGCUGAAGAUCCUACACUGCUGGCUUUGAAGUUAAAGGAAAAAGCCAUGAGCCAGAGAAUGAAGGCAGCAUCUAGAAGCUGGAAAAGGCAAGGAAACAUAUUCUCCCCUAGAGCCUCCAGAAAGAACAGAGCCAUGCUGACAGUUUGAUUUUAACCCAAUGAGACCAUGUCGGACUUCUAAUCCACCGAACUCAAAACCUACCCUCAGGAAAAGGUCUGAAACUCAUUCACACUGAAGACGCAAAGGACUGAUAACAGCUCAAUGUGAAAGCCUGGUGUGGGAGCCCUGCCCCUGGUUUCUGUGCCAGGUAUGCUAAUGUAACCUCCCUAAGUCAGUUUCCACAUGCAUAAAAUUAAAGUAGUUGAAUUAAUGUUUCUUAAAAUCCAUUCCAUUCCAGCCAGGUUAUUGCCUUUAGGAACCUUUGCACCUUUAUGCAUCAUUCAUUCACUGUUUUAUGUAGCAUCUGAGAUAAGGAAUACUGUAAUUUCAAUACUUAUUCAUUAAACUUACUCUGUGCCA